CGAGCGCCCCGCAAGGGGAGCGGCAGACGGGGGAGUAACACGUGGGAACGUACCCUUCAGUUCGGAACAACUCAGGGAAACUUGGGCUAAUACCGAAUACGUCCGUAAGGAGAAAGAUUUAUCGCUGAAGGAUCGGCCCGCGUCUGAUUAGCUUGUUGGUGAGGUAACGGCUCACCAAGGCUACGAUCAGUAGCUGGUCUGAGAGGAUGAUCAGCCUCACUGGGACUGAGACACGGCCCAGACUCCUACGGGAGGCAGCAGUGGGGAAUAUUGGACAAUGGGCGCAAGCCUGAUCCAGCCAUGCCGCGUGGAUGAUGAAGGCCUUAGGGUUGUAAAGUCCUUUCGACGGGGAAGAUAAUGACGGUACCCGUAGAAGAAGCCCCGGCUAACUUCGUGCCAGCAGCCGCGGUAAUACGAAGGGGGCUAGCGUUGCUCGGAAUCACUGGGCGUAAAGCGCACGU
RNAcentral lists this ribosomal RNA (461 nucleotides) under uncultured bacterium. Its description in RNAcentral is "bacterial SSU rRNA". It matches the Rfam family "Bacterial small subunit ribosomal RNA", at positions 63 to 572 of the family's 1533-position model. The record is from RNAcentral.